AAAAAAGCAAACCCUAGGUUUCCGUGUCCAACUUUGACUGUCUGUCUUAUAUGAAAUUUUUUUAUAAUUCGUAUUUUCAUUGUUGUUAGAUGAUAAAACAUGAUUAAUAUUUUAUGCGUAACUUGUCUUUUUAAUUUUUUUUUAUAAUUUUUUAAUAAGACGGACGGUCAAACGUUGGGCACGGAAACCAGGGUUUGUCUUUUU
Molecule: microRNA precursor, 204 nt
Filed under: Oryza glumipatula
Lineage: Eukaryota; Viridiplantae; Streptophyta; Magnoliopsida; Poales; Poaceae
Description: MIR812 microRNA precursor family
Rfam family: MIR812 microRNA precursor family
Source: Rfam by way of RNAcentral